ACUCCUACGGGAGGCAGCAGUGGGGAAUAUUGCACAAUGGGGAAACCCUGAUGCAGCCAUGCCGCGUGUGUGAAGAAGGCCUUCGGUUGUAAAGCACUUUCAGUAGGGAGGAAGGUAGUGUAGUUAAUACCUGCAUUAUUUGACGUUACCUACAGAAGAAGCACCGGCUAACUCCGUGCCAGCAGCCGCGGUAAUACGGAGGGUGCGAGCGUUAAUCGGAAUUACUGGGCGUAAAGCGCAUGCAGGCGGCCUGUUAAGUCAGAUGUGAAAGCCCGGGGGCUUAACCUCGGAAUUGCAUUUGAAACUGGCAGGCUAGAGUCUUGUAGAGGGGGUAGAAUUUCAGGUGUAGCGGUGAAAUGCGUAGAGAUCUGAAGGAAUACCAGUGGCGAAGGCGGCCCCCUGGACAAAGACUGACGCUCAGAUGCGAAAGCGUGGGGAGCAAACAGGAUUAGAUACCCUGGUAGCACAGAG
RNAcentral lists this ribosomal RNA (471 nucleotides) under uncultured bacterium. RNAcentral's name for it is "bacterial SSU rRNA". It matches the Rfam family "Bacterial small subunit ribosomal RNA", at positions 335 to 799 of the family's 1533-position model. The record is from RNAcentral.